Mytilus trossulus (common blue mussel) is the source of this 577-nucleotide long non-coding RNA. RefSeq lists it as uncharacterized. Lineage: Eukaryota; Metazoa; Mollusca; Bivalvia; Mytilida; Mytilidae. The record is from RefSeq and is a predicted model, not a curated record. The transcript has 4 exons.
GUCGACGUAGUAGGCAUACGUUCUGAAACUGCAGAUUAUGAUAUUUUCACUGGUACAGUUGUGAAAAUUUACCGAGGCAAUGAGGCAGAUAUUCCGAUAGGAUCUAAUAUAACAUUUACAGCGCGCGUUUCAGAGUGCAUUCGUAAUCAGUUUAAAGGAGCGUAUAUUUUUUCUGGAGUUUUAGGAACAGUGCUUGCCGGUCAUUAUGAUAUAACUUUUUGUCAAAGCAUAAGAAUUCGGAAAGCAAUAACAUCGGCCACAAAACUGCAAUGGAUUGAACAUCUUUUGAAAAAGUUAAAAAGUAUUGGAUGUGAAGGAAAACACCACUGCUUGGCACUUCCGGAUAUACCUAAAAAUAAGGACGUGAAAAAUGCUUGCCUCUUUCCCGUCACUCCAGCCAACACAACUAACUGUUAUUUAGACUGGGGUGCUUGUCUGAGAACGAAUUGCAACGUCCCGUGUACAUGGUUCUAUGCAGAAGGUUCAAACUGUGCUGAGGGCGACCCUAAUCCUGAUGUGGUUCCAGCAAUCGAAGGCUAAGAAGAACAAUAAUAUUUAUUAUAUAAUGUUCUGAUAA